CAGCCUCCUGAUGUGGGUGCUCUCAGAGCUCGGAGCAUUGAAGAGAAGGAAACAUUGAUGGGAAACCCAGGCAUGGAAUCCUUCCUUCAUUUAAGGAUGAUGUUAAAGACUUUGAGCCAUCCGUCCGGCACCAACCCCCACUGAUCCAGCAGGAGCUGGCUCCUGUGUCCCCUCUGCUGGGAUACCUACCCUUGGAGAACUGAUCCCCUACUAGGGGUAUAGAACACAGCUGUCGAAACAGAAAUUUAUCUUGGCAACUGCUGAUGGAUGGAUGGACGCACACAGGAUCCAGAGAUUCAGUGAAGGAAGAUUCCUGAGACCGAGGAAAGCAGAAACAGCGGGGCGAGCGGGACUUGUGGAAAUGGGUAGACCGCGAGAGGGGGAAUACAGGCAAGGAGAGUGGGAGAGGGAGAAGCAGGCUUCCCACGGAGCAGAGAGCCUGAUGCAGGGCUCCAUCCCGGGAUCCUGGGAUCACGACCCAAG
Lutra lutra (Eurasian river otter) is the source of this 483-nucleotide long non-coding RNA. RefSeq lists it as uncharacterized. NCBI's taxonomy places the organism in Eukaryota, Metazoa, Chordata, Mammalia, Carnivora, Mustelidae. The record is from RefSeq and is a predicted model, not a curated record. The transcript has 3 exons.